CCACCCUAUCUUUUCUACAAAGCACGCUCUUCUUAAAGGAAAAGCGUUUGUGGGAAUCCUAUGCCCCUCUUCACUCUCCAUGUAUAUUCCUAUCACUUGCUGCUUGUUUGCUGUAUCCCCCUUUUUGCCAUGACUAGCUAGAUAAUCUUCCCACAUGUUAUCAUCACUCUCAGAAACCUGCAAAGUGGCAUCUGGCAAAGGGGAAUUUGAAGAUGAAUUUACAUUCUGUCAUUCUGGGGAUGGGUCUCACCCUUUAGCAACUUUCAAUAAAGAUGUGUUCAUGGAAGAGCUCACCUAACACAUUACAGAGGCAGAGGGUGCAAAGAUGCAAGACCCCCCAGCCCCGCCCCCCAUUCAUUCCCCUUACUCUUGUAUCAAAACUAUGACUUGACACAUCGUUCUGUACCCUCUGAUCCCUCCCCUCUAUCUGCCAUCAGCCUCAAGCCAAAAUCUUCUUGCCUUCUGUGUUCCUGCUUUUUCCCUGACCAAACUAAAAAACCAAUUAGUAACUGAUAAAAAAUAAUAAUAAAGUAAGAAGGUGACUGCUGAAACUUGGUCAAAAGUAUAUUCCUCUCUCCCCCUAAAAUGAAUUGAUAAUCCUAGCUGCUUCACAGCUUCUCUUUUCUAUGCCUUGAGGUUGGGCCAUUUUCUUCCUUUUCUUUAACUCUGCCCGAGUGAGUAGGGAUCACUCUACAUUUUGAUAACCAAAGAAAUGGAACUAGGCAUGGACUUUCUAUCUACAAUUCUCCAUAUACAUGGAGUAAUAAAAUCAUUUUUAUGUGAUGUAGACAGGAAAUAUGUUUAA
Non-coding RNA from Theobroma cacao (cacao), 805 nucleotides. NCBI's taxonomy places the organism in Eukaryota, Viridiplantae, Streptophyta, Magnoliopsida, Malvales, Malvaceae. The record is from RefSeq and is a predicted model, not a curated record.